UCACGAUUGUUAUAUCUGUUUCAUGUUUGUUAUCCCUAUGAAAAGUAUGUGCUGUACAGCUUUGUAACCUUGCAGCACAUAUUACCAGAUAUGUUGGAUUAGCAGCUUUUAACUUUUAUAUCGUAAUUUAUGUUACAGCUGCUAGGAUGAGGUUGGCAGCCACUGAGAAAGCGGAAGCGGAGAAGAUACUCCAGAUCAAGAGGGCUGAAGGUGAGGCAGAAUCGAAGUACUUGGCUGGUGUGGGUAUUGCAAGGCAGCGCCAGGCCAUAGUGGACGGGCUGAGAGACAGUGUUCUCGCCUUCUCUGAGAAUGUGCCUGGGACCUCUUCGAAGGAUGUCAUGGAUAUGGUUUUGGUGACGCAGUACUUCGAUACCAUGAAGGACAUUGGGGCCUCUUCCAAGUCUUCAGCAGUGUUCAUCCCUCACGGGCCUGGCGCUGUCAAAGACAUCGCUUCGCAGAUACGAGAUGGUCAGCUCCAGGGCAGGAUGGUUUGAGGAGUGUUGGAAAAUGGAUGCCACUUUUAUACGCAUACUUUUAAGUACAUACAGCUUAUUCUUAUACUAUGUGUGAGGUGAGGUUGUGCCUAGAUGGAUGUUAAUAUCAGUACUUGCUUGGAUUGUGCCACUCGUUUCUGUAAAAAAUAUAAGUUGUGCUAUCACUGCGUUCACCACUAUUUGUGAAUUGAGUGUGUUAUAUGGUUAUUAUACUAUAAUUUCUAUGUUGCUACUAGUAUUUUCAUUCAAAUCUUGGAAACCUUGGAAUUUUGGAGAUUGUUCUGAAGCUCCUCCCACUGAGGCCCCCAGUUUCUCGUUCUUACUACUUAUGAUAUGUUCUUUG
RNAcentral lists this long non-coding RNA (837 nucleotides) under Triticum aestivum (bread wheat). RNAcentral's name for it is "long non-coding RNA (TAES_LNC004862)". The record is from RNAcentral. Lineage: Eukaryota; Viridiplantae; Streptophyta; Magnoliopsida; Poales; Poaceae.